UAUGAAGUUGGAAUCGCUAGUAAUCGCGGAUCAGCAUGCCGCGGUGAAUACGUUCCCGGGCCUUGUACACACCGCCCGUCACACCAUGGGAGUCGGGAAUGCCCGAAGCCGGUGGCCCAAUCGAAAGAAGGGAGCCGUCGAAGGCAGGCCGGAUGACUGGGGUGAAGUCGUAACAAGGUAUC
Molecule: ribosomal RNA, 182 nt
Filed under: uncultured bacterium
Lineage: Bacteria
Description: partial 16S ribosomal RNA
Rfam family: Bacterial small subunit ribosomal RNA
Source: RNAcentral